GAUGAAGAACGUAGCGAACUGCGAUAAGUAAUGUGAAUUGCAGAAUUCAGUGAAUCAUCGAGUCUUUGAACGCACAUUGCGCCCCCUGGCAUUCCGGGGGGCAUGCCUGUCCGAGCGUCAUUGCUGCCCUUCAAGCCCGGCUUGUGUGUUGGGUCGUCGUCCCCCCCGGGGGACGGGCCCGAAAGGCAGCGGCGGCACCGCGUCCGGUCCUCGAGCGUAUGGGGCUUUGUCACCCGCUCGAUUAGGGCCGGCCGGGCGCCAGCCGGCGUCUCCAACCUUCUAUUUUACCAGGUUGACCUCGGAUCAGGUAGGGAUACCCGCUGAACUUAAGCAUAUCAAUAAGCGGAGGG
RNAcentral lists this unclassified non-coding RNA (350 nucleotides) under soil metagenome. Its description in RNAcentral is "partial contains 5.8S ribosomal RNA, internal transcribed spacer 2, and large subunit ribosomal RNA". The stretch from base 1 to 120 matches the Rfam family "5.8S ribosomal RNA", at positions 35 to 154 of the family's 154-position model. The record is from RNAcentral.